AUUGAACGCUGGCGGCAGGCCUAACACAUGCAAGUCGAGCGGAUGAAGGGAGCUUGCUCCUGGAUUCAGCGGCGGACGGGUGAGUAAUGCCUAGGAAUCUGCCUGGUAGUGGGGGAUAACGUCCGGAAACGGGCGCUAAUACCGCAUACGUCCUGAGGGAGAAAGUGGGGGAUCUUCGGACCUCACGCUAUCAGAUGAGCCUAGGUCGGAUUAACUAGUUGGUGGGGUAAAGGCCUGCCAAGGCGACGAUCCGUAACUGGUCUGAGAGGAUGAUCAGUCACACUGGAACUGAGACACGGUCCAGACUCCUACGGGAGGCAGCAGUGGGGAAUAUUGGACAAUGGGCGAAAGCCUGAUCCAGCCAUGCCGCGUGUGUGAAGAAGGUCUUCGGAUUGUAAAGCACUUUAAGUUGGGAGGAAGGGCAGUAAGUUAAUACCUUGCUGUUUUGACGUUACCAACAGAAUAAGCACCGGCUAACUUCGUG
Molecule: ribosomal RNA, 484 nt
Filed under: uncultured bacterium
Lineage: Bacteria
Description: partial 16S ribosomal RNA
Rfam family: Bacterial small subunit ribosomal RNA
Source: RNAcentral